This 71-nucleotide transfer RNA is filed under the name Camelus ferus (Wild Bactrian camel). It matches the Rfam family "tRNA". From Rfam's summary of the family: Transfer RNA (tRNA) molecules are approximately 80 nucleotides in length. Their secondary structure includes four short double-helical elements and three loops (D, anti-codon, and T loops). Further hydrogen bonds mediate the characteristic L-shaped molecular structure. tRNAs have two regions of fundamental functional importance: the anti-codon, which is responsible for specific mRNA codon recognition, and the 3' end, to which the tRNAs corresponding amino acid is attached (by aminoacyl-tRNA synthetases). tRNAs cope with the degeneracy of the genetic code in two manners: having more than one tRNA (with a specific anti-codon) for a particular amino acid; and 'wobble' base-pairing, i.e. permitting non-standard base-pairing at the 3rd anti-codon position. The record is from Rfam by way of RNAcentral. Lineage: Eukaryota; Metazoa; Chordata; Mammalia; Artiodactyla; Camelidae.
GAGGGUAGAGCUCAGCGGUAGAGCGCGUGCUUAGCAUGCACGAGGUCCUGGUUCAAUGCCUAGUACCGCCA